ACGGUGAGUGGAUCAAAGCUUCGGCGGCAUAGGAUGGGCCUGCGCCGUAUCAGGUUGUAGGGGGUGUAAAGUACCCUCUAGCCAUCAACGCGUACGGGUGUUGGGAGACAUUGCCCGGAGAUGGAUUCUGAGACACGAAUCCAGACCCUACGGGGUGCAGCAGGCGCGAAAACUUGGCAAUGCGAGCAAUCGUGACCAGGGAACUCCAAGUGCGUAGGGUAAGACCUACGCUUUUCUUGACUCUUCAAAGGUCUUGGAAUAAGGGGUGGGUAAGGACGGUGCCAGCCGCCGCGGUAAUACCGGCGCCUCAAGUGGUAGUCGCUUUUAUUGGGCCUAAAACGUCCGUAGCCGGUCUGGUGCAUUCGUGGGUAAAUCAACCCGCUCAACGGGUUGAAUUCUGCGAGCACGGCCAGACUUGGGACCGGGAGAGGUGUGGGGUACUCUCAGGGUAGGGGUAAAAUCCUGUCAUCCUGAGAGGACCACCUGUUGCGAAGGCGCCACACUAGAACGGAUCCGACGGUCAGGGACGAAACCUAGGGGCACGAACCGGAUUAGAUACCCGGGUAGUCCUAGGUGUAAACGCUGUGGACUUGAUGUUGGGGGUGCUCCGAGCUCCCUCAGUGUCGAAGCGAAGGUGAUAAGUCCACUGCCUGGGGAGUACGGUCGCAAGGCUGAAACUUAAAGGAAUUGGCGGGGGAGCACUGCAACCUGAGGAUUGUGCGGUUUAAUUGGACUCAACGCCGGGA
This 746-nucleotide ribosomal RNA is filed under the name uncultured Candidatus Poseidoniales archaeon. Its description in RNAcentral is "bacterial SSU rRNA". It matches the Rfam family "Archaeal small subunit ribosomal RNA", at positions 175 to 923 of the family's 1478-position model. The record is from RNAcentral. Lineage: Archaea; Methanobacteriati; Thermoplasmatota; Candidatus Poseidoniia; Candidatus Poseidoniales.